CCUACGGGAGGCAGCAGUAGGGAAUCUUUCACAAUGGGCGAAAGCCUGAUGGAGCAACGCCGCGUGCAGGAUGAAGGCCUUCGGGUUGUAAACUGCUUUUAUAAGCGAGAAAUAUGAUGGUAACUUACGAAUAAGGAUCGGCUAAUUACGUGUCAGCAGCCGCGGUCAUACGUAGGAUCCGAGCAUUAUCCGGGGUGACUGUGUGUAAAGAGUUGCGUAGGUGGGAUAAUAAGUAGCUAGUGAAAUCUGGUGGCUCAACCAUUCAGACUAUUAGCUAAACUGUUGAACUCGAGACCGGUAGGGGUGACUGGAAUUUCUAGUGUAGGAGUGAAAUCCGUAGAUAUAAGAAGGAACACCAGUAGCGUAGGCAGGUUACUGGGACGGUUCUGACACUAAGGCACGAAAGCAUAGGGAGCAAACGGGAUUAGAUACCCCGGUAGUC
Molecule: ribosomal RNA, 442 nt
Filed under: uncultured bacterium
Lineage: Bacteria
Description: partial 16S ribosomal RNA
Rfam family: Bacterial small subunit ribosomal RNA
Source: RNAcentral